RNAcentral lists this ribosomal RNA (462 nucleotides) under Triticum aestivum (bread wheat). RNAcentral describes it as "partial small subunit ribosomal RNA". Lineage: Eukaryota; Viridiplantae; Streptophyta; Magnoliopsida; Poales; Poaceae. The record is from RNAcentral.
AUGGCAGUCUCCAAGCUCGCCGCCGUGUCUCUACUGCUGCUUUCGGCCUCGCUCGCGGCCGUGCUGCUCCUCCGCCCCUCCGGCGCAGACGACGGCGGCGCCCCGUGGGGCGCGGGCAGCGGCGGCAUCCUCACCGCCCUGCCGUUCAGCCCCGCGGACGUCCUGCCCCUCCUGCCGAGGCGCGUCGCGAUGGCGGCCCUCCGUGCGCUCCGCGGCGCGUCGGACAUCUUCCCGGUGUUCGUGGGCGCGGCGACGGCCGGGCCGGCGCAGGCGGGCACCGCGCCGGUGGGCUGGAAAGGAGCCUGCUUCUACGAGAACGAGGCCUGGCUGUCCUUCCACAACGACUCCGGCUCCAAGUACGGCGGCGGCACGGUCCACCUCAAGGUACGGCACGGUGCUUCCCGCAAAGUCCGCCGUAGAGCACGGUCGCCACGAACUGCCGCAGAGCUUGCUUCCGGAUAG